This 1346-nucleotide ribosomal RNA is filed under the name uncultured bacterium. Its description in RNAcentral is "partial 16S ribosomal RNA". It matches the Rfam family "Bacterial small subunit ribosomal RNA", at positions 28 to 1381 of the family's 1533-position model. The record is from RNAcentral.
GACGAACGCUGGCUGUGUGCUUAACACAUGCAAGUCGAACGGAAAGGCCCUGCUUUUGUGGGGUGCUCGAGUGGCGAACGGGUGAGUAACACGUGAGUAACCUGCCCUUGACUUUGGGAUAACUUCAGGAAACUGGGGCUAAUACCGGAUAGGAGCUCCUGCUGCAUGGUGGGGGUUGGAAAGUUUCGGCGGUUGGGGAUGGACUCGCGGCUUAUCAGCUUGUUGGUGGGGUAGUGGCUUACCAAGGCUUUGACGGGUAGCCGGCCUGAGAGGGUGACCGGCCACAUUGGGACUGAGAUACGGCCCAGACUCCUACGGGAGGCAGCAGUGGGGAAUAUUGCACAAUGGGCGGAAGCCUGAUGCAGCAACGCCGCGUGCGGGAUGACGGCCUUCGGGUUGUAAACCGCUUUCGCCUGUGACGAAGCGUGAGUGACGGUAAUGGGUAAAGAAGCACCGGCUAACUACGUGCCAGCAGCCGCGGUGAUACGUAGGGUGCGAGCGUUGUCCGGAUUUAUUGGGCGUAAAGGGCUCGUAGGUGGUUGAUCGCGUCGGAAGUGUAAUCUUGGGGCUUAACCCUGAGCGUGCUUUCGAUACGGGUUGACUUGAGGAAGGUAGGGGAGAAUGGAAUUCCUGGUGGAGCGGUGGAAUGCGCAGAUAUCAGGAGGAACACCAGUGGCGAAGGCGGUUCUCUGGGCCUUUCCUGACGCUGAGGAGCGAAAGCGUGGGGAGCGAACAGGCUUAGAUACCCUGGUAGUCCACGCUGUAAACGGUGGGUACUAGGUGUGGGGUCCAUUCCACGGGUUCCGUGCCGUAGCUAACGCUUUAAGUACCCCGCCUGGGGAGUACGGCCGCAAGGCUAAAACUCAAAGGAAUUGACGGGGCCCCGCACAAGCGGCGGAGCAUGCGGAUUAAUUCGAUGCAACGCGUAGAACCUUACCUGGGUUUGACAUGGAUCGGGAGUGCUCAGAGAUGGGUGUGCCUCUUUUGGGGUCGGUUCACAGGUGGUGCAUGGCUGUCGUCAGCUCGUGUCGUGAGAUGUUGGGUUAAGUCCCGCAACGAGCGCAACCCUUGUUCACUGUUGCCAGCACGUUAUGGUGGGGACUCAGUGGAGACCGCCGGGGUCAACUCGGAGGAAGGUGGGGAUGACGUCAAGUCAUCAUGCCCCUUAUGUCCAGGGCUUCACGCAUGCUACAAUGGCUGGUACAGAGAGUGGCGAGCCUGUGAGGGUGAGCGAAUCUCGGAAAGCCGGUCUCAGUUCGGAUUGGGGUCUGCAACUCGACCUCAUGAAGUCGGAGUCGCUAGUAAUCGCAGAUCAGCAACGCUGCGGUGAAUACGUUCCCGGGGCU